This 621-nucleotide ribosomal RNA is filed under the name uncultured bacterium. RNAcentral's name for it is "bacterial SSU rRNA". It matches the Rfam family "Bacterial small subunit ribosomal RNA", at positions 338 to 954 of the family's 1533-position model. The record is from RNAcentral.
CCUACGGGAGGCAGCAGUAGGGAAUCUUCCGCAAUGGACGAAAGUCUGACGGAGCAACGCCGCGUGAACGAUGAAGGCCUUCGGGUCGUAAAGUUCUGUUGUUAGGGAAGAACAAGUGCUAGUUGAAUAAGCUGGCACCUUGACGGUACCUAACCAGAAAGCCACGGCUAACUACGUGCCAGCAGCCGCGGUAAUACGUAGGUGGCAAGCGUUGUCCGGAAUUAUUGGGCGUAAAGCGCGCGCAGGCGGUUUCUUAAGUCUGAUGUGAAAGCCCCCGGCUCAACCGGGGAGGGUCAUUGGAAACUGGGAAACUUGAGUGCAGAAGAGGAAAGUGGAAUUCCAAGUGUAGCGGUGAAAUGCGUAGAGAUUUGGAGGAACACCAGUGGCGAAGGCGACUUUCUGGUCUGUAACUGACGCUGAGGCGCGAAAGCGUGGGGAGCAAACAGGAUUAGAUACCCUGGUAGUCCACGCUGUAAACGAUGAGUGCUAAGUGUUAGAGGGUUUCCGCCCUUUAGUGCUGAAGUUAACGCAUUAAGCACUCCGCCUGGGGAGUACGGUCGCAAGACUGAAACUCAAAGAGUAGUAGGACGCGNGAGUGCGACGAGACACCAGGGAGGUAGG